GCCACCCUAGCUCAGUCGGUAGAGCAAUUCACUCGUAAUGAAUAGGUCGGGGGUCGGACUCUCCCCGGCUCUCGCCG
Molecule: transfer RNA, 77 nt
Filed under: Mycolicibacterium porcinum
Lineage: Bacteria; Bacillati; Actinomycetota; Actinomycetes; Mycobacteriales; Mycobacteriaceae
Description: tRNA-Thr
Rfam family: tRNA (bases 8-65)
About the family: Transfer RNA (tRNA) molecules are approximately 80 nucleotides in length. Their secondary structure includes four short double-helical elements and three loops (D, anti-codon, and T loops). Further hydrogen bonds mediate the characteristic L-shaped molecular structure. tRNAs have two regions of fundamental functional importance: the anti-codon, which is responsible for specific mRNA codon recognition, and the 3' end, to which the tRNAs corresponding amino acid is attached (by aminoacyl-tRNA synthetases). tRNAs cope with the degeneracy of the genetic code in two manners: having more than one tRNA (with a specific anti-codon) for a particular amino acid; and 'wobble' base-pairing, i.e. permitting non-standard base-pairing at the 3rd anti-codon position.
Source: RNAcentral